UAGGGAAUCUUCCACAAUGGACGAAAGUCUGAUGGAGCAACGCCGCGUGAGUGAAGAAGGGUUUCGGCUCGUAAAACUCUGUUGUUAAAGAAGAACAUAUCUGAGAGUAACUGUUCAGGUAUUGACGGUAUUUAACCAGGAAGCCACGGCUAACUACGUGCCAGCAG
Molecule: ribosomal RNA, 167 nt
Filed under: uncultured bacterium
Lineage: Bacteria
Description: partial 16S ribosomal RNA
Rfam family: Bacterial small subunit ribosomal RNA
Source: RNAcentral